This 696-nucleotide ribosomal RNA is filed under the name Triticum aestivum (bread wheat). RNAcentral describes it as "partial small subunit ribosomal RNA". Lineage: Eukaryota; Viridiplantae; Streptophyta; Magnoliopsida; Poales; Poaceae. The record is from RNAcentral.
AUGUGGGAGGAAUGCUUGCCUCAUAUUGAAUUUGCUUAUAAUCGUUCAUUGCAUUCUACUACUAAGAUGUGCCCUUUUGAAGUUGUGUAUGGUUUCCUACCUCGUGCACCUAUUGAUUUGUUGCCUCUUCCAUCUUCGGAGAAGGUUAAUUUUGAUGCUAAACAACGUGCUGAAUUGAUUUUAAAAAUGCAUGAGUUAACUAAGGAAAACAUUGAGCGCAUGAAUGCUAAAUAUAAACUUGCUGGAGAUAAGGGUAGAAAACAUGUUGUGUUUGAACCUGGAGAUCUUGUUUGGUUACAUUUGCGUAAGGAUAGAUUUCCUGAUUUGCGCAAAUCAAAGUUAAUGCCACGUGCUGAUGGUCCCUUUAAGGUGUUAGAGAAAAUAAAUGAUAAUGCAUAUAAACUUGAGCUGCCUGCAGAUUUUGGGGUUAGUCCCACUUUUAACAUUGCAGAUUUGAAGCCUUAUUUGGGUGAGGAAGAUGAACUUCCGUCGAGGACGACUUCAUUUCAAGAAGGGGAGGAUGAUGAGGACAUCAAUACAAUUGUUACACCCACAGCCCCUGCUGCUAUACAUACUGGACCAAUUACUAGAGCUCGUGCACGCCAACUAAAUUACCAGGAAACAGACCCUCGUGGUCAGGUUGAUCGUGCUCCGGCGUGGUCAAUAACCUCUCGGAGUUGGUUUAGCGAUUGCUAA